CUUGUCUUUUUCCUUUUUUGUGAGUGCCAUAGACAAUGUAUGUUGAUUUUAGAUUAUUUCUGUCACUUUCAGCUGAAAGAGUUCAGACCAAUUCAUCCCCAUGGGCAGAAUCAGGGACACCCUCCUGGACACCCAGAUCCUCUGGUACCACCCUCACCACUGCAAUCACCACGAAAAACUGCACCAGAAAUAGGUGGCCCUGCCCCUGAUGUUUUUGUGAUGAUAUCAACUUUGGCUUACCUCCUCCCUUCUUUCUUGAAAUUUGAGUGUGGCCCAGGGAAGCCAAAAGAUUGGAUAUCCCUGCCUUAGAAGAAUCACGUGCAAACUCACCCACAGGGGCUUUUCCUUAGGACUGCCUCACAGCAUGGAAGCCAGCUUCUCCAGGACGACUGAUCCAAGAGACAGCAAGAGAGUGUCCAAGACAGAAGUCACCAUCUCUUGGUAACCUCAUCUCAGAAGCAACAUGCUCAUCCCCUCUGCCACAUUUUGUGCAUUAGAAAUGAGUCAUUAAGUCCAGCCUACACUUGAAGGGAGGAAAUUACAUAAGGGUAUGAGUACCAAGAGGUGGGUUAAUUGGGGCAAUUUCAGAGGCUACCUGCCACAGGUAAGUUAUUAUUAUCCUUCAUUUCAUACCUAGACACCCAGCUAGUUAAGCAGCUGGUCCAGGUCACCCAGCAGAGAGUGAUCUGAGUCCAAAGUGGUUUUCUAUUCCCCAGGCUGGUAGGGGUGUGAGAUGGAGGAAGGCAGGGAGAAGUUACUUGCAGGAAAAAAAAAUUAGGAUGAUGUCUCUGUUAUUUAUCUAACUAGCUAAAUUAAUAACUCUGUUAUUUAUCUAACUAGUAUCUUUAGCUAUGUAACUAAUUACCAACAACUUAAUGGCUUAAAGCAAACAUUUAUUAUCUUAUAGUUCCUAUGGAUCAGGAAUUUGGUGACAACUGAGCUGAGUGGUUGUCAGUCUCCUAUGAGGCUGUGGUUCAGCUGUGGGCUGGGGAUGCUGCUUUGAAGACCUAACCAGGGCUGAGGCGCUACUUCCAAGAGACUCCAUUCACAUAGCUGCUGGUGGGAGGCUUCCUUCUUCACCACGCAGACACCUCGAGCUUCUUUAGGACAGGGCAGCUGGCUUCCCCCAGAACAGGUGAUUCAAGAGCAGAUAAGCAAAGCCUGAGUGUCUUUUGUGACGUAGCCUCAGGAGUCAUAACUGUCAUUUCUGCAAUAUCCUGUUGAUUACACAGGAUAGGUCAGUCCUAUUCACUGUGGGAGGUGAUUACAGAAGGGCAUGGGAAUACCAGGAGAUCAGGAUCACUGGAGGCUGACUAUUUACCACAGGGUUCCACAAGGUUGAUAACCUGAAAACUUAACUUUUAUCGCUGCUUCCCUGCUCAAAGAGACCCAGAGCCUUCCCAUGUACUACAGCACACAAUCUGAUUUUCUUAGCUCCAUCUCCCACUGGCUCCUGAGUGGAUGGACUGUCUGGGACUGACAGCCUGGUCUGCUAAUGGACCUCACCAGUCCCACAGCUGAGGCUCUUGUUGAUACCUCCCCUCCCAUCCUCUGUUCUGUGGGAAGGCCUGGCUCCCUGGGAAGCCUCCAUUCAGCAUUCAAAGCAUAGUUAGCCAGGAUCUGGCUGGAUGCUAGGAUAUGAUGGUGAUAUCACCUUCUCUCAGGGAACUUUCACUCAGAUAGAGAGGUAGUUACCAGCGAAUUAAUAAUAAACAAAUCACACAUCAUGCCAAGUUCUCCCAGGGAAACCUACAGGGUACCAUGGGAUUAUAUAAUAGGGGACUGGCCUAGUCCAUGAGCACUGGAGCAGUCAAGUAGCCAACCAGGCUGCAUAGGAGUAUCAGCAUUGGGUUUAGUGUUAAGUGUCUGAAAAUGCAAAAUAACAAUAGCUUAAGUAAGACAGAUGUUUAUUUCUCUUGGGCAGGUGUUUGAGGUGCCACUCAGAGACAGGAACUCAGGUUCUUUCUGUCUCGUUGCUCUGCUCUGUAUGGCCUCUAUCUUAUGGUCCAGGAUGAUGACACCUACAAUCCUGGCAGCCAAAUGGAGAAAGGGACACAGAGGGUAAAGCAGACAUACCAACUAUCCCAGACUAUGGAAUGAGUGGAAAAGUGAAGGAGUCUGAUUGAGUUGUUUUCACAAGCAUUAAUGAAAGGAUUAAAUUGAUGUGUAUGAGUGCAACAGAAUCUGUUGUAAUUUCUCUUUAAAUAAAGCUGUCUUUGGGGAAAACGAGACACUUCCCUUCACUUUUCAAUGCCACCUCUAGCUACAAAGGAAGCUGGGAAAUGUAACUUUCUUUUUUUGUUUUGAGACGGUGUUUUGCUCUUACUGCCCAGGCUGGAGUGCAGUGGCACGAUCUUUACUCACUGCAAUCUCUGCCUCCCGGGUUCAAGCGAUCCUCCUGCCUCAGCCUUCCAAGUAGCUGGGUUUACAGACAUGUACCACCACACCCGGCUA
This is a long non-coding RNA of Callithrix jacchus (white-tufted-ear marmoset), 2454 nucleotides long. The record is from Ensembl. Lineage: Eukaryota; Metazoa; Chordata; Mammalia; Primates; Cebidae.